UACGAAGGGGGCUAGCGUUGCUCGGAAUCACUGGGCGUAAAGCGCACGUAGGCGGAUUUCUAAGUCGGGGGUGAAAUCCUGGAGCUCAACUCCAGAACUGCCUUCGAUACUGGAAAUCUCGAGUCCGGGAGAGGUGAGUGGAACUCCGAGUGUAGAGGUGAAAUUCGUAGAUAUUCGGAAGAACACCAGUGGCGAAGGCGGCUCACUGGACUGGUAUUGACGCUGAGGUGCGAAAGCGUGGGGAGCAAACAGG
This 253-nucleotide ribosomal RNA is filed under the name uncultured bacterium. RNAcentral's name for it is "partial 16S ribosomal RNA". It matches the Rfam family "Bacterial small subunit ribosomal RNA", at positions 524 to 776 of the family's 1533-position model. The record is from RNAcentral.